This 212-nucleotide ribosomal RNA is filed under the name uncultured bacterium. RNAcentral's name for it is "partial 16S ribosomal RNA". It matches the Rfam family "Bacterial small subunit ribosomal RNA", at positions 524 to 733 of the family's 1533-position model. The record is from RNAcentral.
UACAGAGGGUGCGAGCGUUAAUCGGAAUUACUGGGCGUAAAGCGCACGUAGUCGGCUUUGCAAGUCGGUUGUGAAAUCCCCGGGCUCAACCUGGGAACUGCAUCCGAGACUGCAUUGCUAGAGUAUGGGAGAGGAAAGCGGAAUUUCUGGUGUAGCAGUGAAAUGCGUAGAUAUCAGAAGGAAACAUCAGUGGCGAAAGGCGGCUUUCUUGG